RNAcentral lists this small RNA (74 nucleotides) under Yersinia pestis. RNAcentral describes it as "partial RtT sRNA". It matches the Rfam family "RtT RNA", at positions 1 to 77 of the family's 130-position model. Rfam says of the family: This family represents a bacterial cis-regulatory element known as RtT RNA. The exact function of RtT is unknown although it is thought that it may be involved in changing the cellular response in relation to amino acid starvation. Lineage: Bacteria; Pseudomonadati; Pseudomonadota; Gammaproteobacteria; Enterobacterales; Yersiniaceae. The record is from RNAcentral.
AGUUCUCAUAUCUGGGGAAGGUAAGAACCUUCGACAAGGUUCGCGCCGAGCGUAGCGAGACAACGACGCAAAGC